This 2925-nucleotide unclassified non-coding RNA is filed under the name Hevea brasiliensis (rubber tree). The record is from RNAcentral. Lineage: Eukaryota; Viridiplantae; Streptophyta; Magnoliopsida; Malpighiales; Euphorbiaceae.
UGACAUAUAGGUAUAGUGUACAUACAUAAAUAAAGGGUGCUAAGUGGAUUCCCCAUGGACACAAGGUAAACACUCAAUCUAGAAUAUCUUUUCUGGUAAGCAUUUUAGAAGUAUGUUUAGUUUCAUCUUAUGAAGUAUCUUAGUAUAACUGUGAAUGCAUAUUCAAUAUAAGCCUACAUUUUAGACCAGCCUUUUGAACAUUCUUCACCCAAAAUUUUCAAUUGGCAAUAAAUAUUCCUGCAAAUGCAAAUCUAAUAGUGCUCCAGAACACUUAGAAAUGGAGCUAUUCUGGAGUCAUUUCUCAACAGUAUAUACUUUUCAGUUCUAACAACAGAUUAGUUAAAUAUUCUGAGUUGCUAAGCUCAAUAACAUGUAGAAUCGGCAAACCUGGCUCAAAUCCUUUAGAGCUGAGGGCUUUUAUGAGAGUAGAAAAGACGAUAUAUUUUCUGUACCAUUUUGAUUUCAAAGAUUGUAUGUACGUUACAUCUGUAUGCUGGAAUCUUCAGGGGUGGGAAGUGGUCCAAGCAAUUUCGUUUGAACAUCUAGCAUUACGUGGUUGAUGAAGCCCUGCCUUAUAAACUCCACUCCUAUAAGGCACCGUCAACAUCAAUUACAUCAUUCUACUUCCCCGUAGCAGAACCCUUUGAAGCUCAUCAGCGAUACCUGGCAAUAGCACUGGUUUACGAAUAAGUCCAUUCAUUCCAAUCUGCAGGCAUCUUCCAGUAACAUUUUCAUCAGCAGUCGCAGUUAAACCAACUAUCAAUGGCCAGUUGUGGCUACCAAACUUCCGAAUUCUCAUGGUUACUUCGAAGCCAUCCAAAUCAGGCAGGUGAAGAUCCAAAAGGACGAUUUGGAAUGAGGAUACAGCAGGGCUAAGAACACCAAUACAGUCACGUCCAGAUGAAACUGCAGAAACACUGCAUCCCAAUUUUUCAAGUAGCUUACUUGUUACCGCUCUAUUCACGUCAUCAUAAUCUGCUAACAGAACUUUAACACCUUGGAGGAGUGAGUGUGGAUGCGAAUGAUCAGAAGAUUCCCCAUAUUCAGGAAUGCCUAUGGCAAUUGAUGGCCGCAGUUGAAGCCCAAGAACGACAGCCAUGCUUUGAUCAAAACCUUCUGGAUUUGGGAUUACCCAGAUGUCUCCUUGCAUCAACUGAACCAGCUUUCUGCACACAGUGAAACUCAAGCCUUCAUCCAUCUCCUUACUGCAGCGUUUUGGCCUGUAAUGUGGCAACAUGGUCCCCUCUGGCUGAGAAUGAUUAUUGCUUGUUCCAACUUCAAACCUGAUAUAGGCGUUAUCACGAGAUGAGUUUGACCUCCUUGUUCUCCAUGCUCCACCAAUGCCUUCCCUACUUACACUUUCUGGGAGAACCCUAAAUGUGAGAAGACCUCCAUUGGGGUCCUUCAAAAGAUUUCCAACCAUAUGAAGAAUAACUUGAAAAACUCUUCUUUCAUCACCGAGAACAUGAUUUGGCAAAGAUUUGUCAACCUCAAUGGAAAUAUUAUAACCCCUAUAAGCACACAAACACUUGGCAAGACAAGCAGCUUCUUUUAUCAUGGAAUGUAGCUGAAAAUAUCUCAUCUCCAAAGGGAAUCUACCGUUGUCCUUUGUUGAAGUAUCCAUCACAUCAUCUAUUAGGGUUGACACGACAUUACUGGUUUUAACCAUUGAAUCCACAAGAAGCCGCUGCUCAUUACCCAAUUUCUCAUCUUGCAACAAGGAGAGCAGACCCAAUAUUGAGUGCAUGGGUCUUCUCAGACCAUGGCUCAUAACCAUCUGAAAUGCAUUCCUUGCUUGACUCGCCCUAAGUGCAUCCUGCUUUGCUUGUUCCAGAGCUCGGUUUUGCUCUUCCAAUGUUUCUCUCAUAUGCUGAGACUCUUCAAGAAUUGCAGCAUGGGACAGAGCCACAGCAACCUGAUCAGCCACAACCCUGACUAUCUCAAUUUCCUGGCUGCACCAUGAUCUACCUUGUUCACUAGGUAGAACCAAAACCAGUAUGGCAUAACAUUCUGGGACAAGUUCAGGAGUUCCACCUUUGAAGUUCGACACUUUAAGCAUCGGCAUCCUAAUUGCAGCCACAGCUCCUGGUUCCCUACUCCCUCCACUACUCGCAACAGCAAGUGGGGAGUCGGCAUCAAGUAUCUUUACUCCGUCACUCUCCUUAACCUGUAUAACAUCUGGAUCACUUCUCGGGAUAGGUAAAUUAUACGCGCUAUUAAAGCUACUGUCUCUCAGCUCAUGAAUUAGGUUCAUCUCAGUUUUAUUCUCAUUGGGCUUCCAAACAGCACAGUUAUGCAAAUCCAGCGUCUUUGAUAGCUCCACCAGAGUUGUGUAGAGUAUUGUAUGACGGUCAAGUGACUUUCGAAUCUCCUGUGUAAGCAUCCGAACAUGCCAUCCAGCUUCUUUUUGCAUCUUUAUUAAUCCAACUUCUCUACCAAGAUCCCAAGUCUUCUUUUUCAGCAUAAAUUCCCUCACCUUGACUUUAAGCAGCAUAGGAAAGAGGGUAAUAAGGGUUAUAGCCGUGGCGAAGGAUACCAGUGCAGUGAGGACUUUAAAAAUGGUUAAAGCAAGCAUAAGCUGAAACGGGUGUUGGCCAUAGUAAGUCCAGAAAUUGAGCAAAUGAGUCAUCCCACACAGAACAAUGAAUGCAAUAAAUUGGAAGAGCACCCAUUUGAAUGGAAAGUUAGAACAACUGACAAAGUAAAGGAGCUCAAUUGGGAUGGAAAAAUACGCAAUCGCAAUAAAGAGAUCACUAAUCUUUUGGCACUCUAAGAUACUCUCAAUGCUCCAAAAUCCCUCAUCAUCACAGUUACAUCGCGGGAAACCAUUAUCAGCAGCCGAUAAGGAAACAAAGAAGGACAAAACCAACAAAGCUGAAGACGACUUGCUCAAUGUUGAGGACGUUAGCAUCAGCUUUGUUGGUU